RNAcentral lists this ribosomal RNA (253 nucleotides) under uncultured bacterium. RNAcentral's name for it is "partial 16S ribosomal RNA". It matches the Rfam family "Bacterial small subunit ribosomal RNA", at positions 524 to 776 of the family's 1533-position model. The record is from RNAcentral.
GACGAGGGGUGCAAACGUUAUUCGGAAUGAUUGGGCGUAAAGGGUGCGUAGGCGGCUUAUUAAGUCAACUGUUAAAUUUCUCAGCUUAACUGGGAGUGUGCGGUAGAAACUGAUGAGCUAGAGGAUGGAAGAGAGAAGUGGAAUUCUCGGAGUAGCGGUAAAAUGCGUAGAUCUCGAGAGGAACACCGAUGGCGAAGGCAGCUUCUUGGUCCAUUUCUGACGCUGAGGCACGAAAGCGUGGGGAGCAAACAGG